AGGGAAACUGCGUACGGCUCAUUACACCAGCCUUAAUUUACUUGACCUUGACAACCUACUUGGAUAACUGUGGUUAUUCUAGAGCUAAUACAUGCACCAAAGCUCCGAUCCUCGCGGAGAGGAGCGCAUUUGUUCGCCACAAAACCAAGCGCCCAUCUGGGCGUCCAGUGCUGAACCAGAACAACUCAGCUGAUCGCACGGUCUUGUACCGGCGACGUGUCUUUCAAGUGUCUGCCUUAUCAACUUUCGAUGGUAGUGUACCUGACUACCAUGGUUGUGACGGGUAACGGAGGAUAAGGGUUCGACUCCGGAGAAGGGGCCUGAGAAAUGGCCACUACGUCUAAGGAUGGCAGCAGGCGCGCAAAUUACCCACUCUCAACGCGAGGAGGUAGUGACGAGAAAUAACGAGACCGUUCUCAUACGAGGCCGGUUAUUGGAAUGGGUACAAUUUAAA
Molecule: ribosomal RNA, 454 nt
Filed under: unidentified nematode Sourhope farm
Lineage: Eukaryota; Metazoa; Nematoda
Description: SSU rRNA
Rfam family: Eukaryotic small subunit ribosomal RNA
Source: RNAcentral